This 6010-nucleotide long non-coding RNA is filed under the name Sus scrofa (pig). RNAcentral describes it as "lncRNA (ENSSSCG00030005142.1)". Lineage: Eukaryota; Metazoa; Chordata; Mammalia; Artiodactyla; Suidae. The record is from RNAcentral.
ACCCAUUGUCAAAUAUUUCUUUCAGAGAGGUUCUCUAGAUAGUAAACUUUCUGAUUUCUUGUUUGUCCAAACUGUCUUUAGCUUGCCUUCACAUUUGCUGUGGAGACCCAUAACUACUGCAAGCCCUUCUCUGUCAGGUUGCUGUAUUCUUGGAAGGAGUUUUUCCAGUCAGGUAAUUUCUUUUUGAAGUUGCUCGUUCCUUUCUGUUCUUUAAGCUGUCUUUUUUUUGUUUGUUUGUUUCUGUAUCUCAGACAAUUCAAUUGCAUCUACUUUGAGAAGCUCCUCACAGUCUGAGUCCUUGGUGGCAAUUCCUCUUUUUGUUUUUUUUUGUCCCUGUGGGUAUAUGUGCAAUUGGCAUUGGAGGGGGGCGGUGAGAUGUGUACAACACACAUGUGUAACAGCUCUGUCACUUUCAUAAUUUGAGAAGUGUAAGUAGACCAUGUGAUAAGCCCAACACCAUGUAGCCGAAGAACGAUAGCGGUUACUUCUUCAGCAUCUCUUCUAGACCUUGUGCCUGGUACACUGUAGACAUUUUCUUUAAUGUUCACACCCUAUUAGAACUUAUGCUCCAUGGGGACAGAGACUAUAGGAUGUCUUGUUCACUAUUCUUAGUGUCUAGUACAGCACCCAGCACAUGACAGCUGGUCAGUAAAAUCUGUUGAAUGAAAACUGUCCUGGAUAAGUAAUAACUGACUAACAUUUAGCAGAGGAUGAACCUAAGCUCAGACAGCUUUAUUAGACUUCCCUAGGUUGUAAAUACUGGAGAGGCAUGAAAAUACAGAUCCCUAAGUCCUAAGGUUGCUCUUGCAUGAGACAAUACUAUUGUAAGGGGUUCUUUAAGUGAAGCUCUAGAAAGGAUACAUGAAUAAUUGUUCUAGGUCUGAAUUGAGUUCUGUUUUUUCUCUAUAUAAUGAGGUUGUGUAUCAAGAUUUGCCCUUGUGUGUGCAGCAAAACAAUGAUCUCUUGGGGCAAUGGACACUGGUUUUAGAUGUGAGAGGUGUGGCUUUAGAGUAGUUCAAAAAUCAGGCCUAAGAGUUUUAAUUUGUCACAGGUUCAAAGUGAUCCCACAGUGUGACAUGAUCAAUGCAAAAAGUCAGUUUACUUUAGGGCAACUAUAUGGAGAUGUGGUGCCCAAGCCAAGCCUCAAUGUAUUCUGUGCUCAUUAGCUCUUCUCUGGAGAAUUCUAUUUCCUUCUGAGAUGUUAACGAACCAUGUCACAUGUGGCAUAGUAAAGGGCUGGGUACAUUUAAUAUAUGUGGCCAUGCUUGUGUUUUCUUUCUUUCUUCCUUUCUUUUUUUCUUUUUUAAGGGCCAUACCCAUGGCAUAUGGUAAUUCCCAGAUUAGGGGUCGAAUUGGAGCUGUAGCCGCCAGCCUACACCACAGUUGGACUCUUAACCCGCCGAGCCACAGGUCUGCCUGCAUUUAAGACCUCACAAUCCUUUCCCUUUCUAACAAUCCACUGACUUGUCUUCCUGUCCACAGUCUCUCUGCUUCAGAUCCAUCCUCCAUACAGCCACCAGGGUGAUCUUCCAAACACAAAUCAGACUGAAUCAUACCUCUUAUAAAAAUGCCUUAAAUAGCUCCCUGGGGGUCUAAAGGUAAAAUAACCUCAGAGGUGAUGUGCUGUAUAAUCCGGGCCCCUUUACUGUCUCUGGCUUCAUUUCCCAUCACUCCCUUCCCUCACAGUGGGGAAGGAGGCAGUGCUGAAAUGCAACUGAGAUGAUGGGCUGACUCGAGGCUGUGUGGUCUAGAUGUCAGCAUGAAUGCUUUCUACCUUCUAAGUCUAUGCUUUCCUACAUUAUAUGGCUAAAUUUUGCUUUGUGCUACAAGAGGAGAGAGAGAAAAGUAGGGUCAAAUAUAUACGUGUCUUUACUCUCCUUGGGGUUUUAAAUAACUAGAUAAGAGAGUCUGUCAUUCUUUCUUUCCAAAUGCCACCAAGCUGACCUGAAAUUAAGAGAGCCAAAUGAAACAAGUCACUUUACAAGUCAGUUCCAUGUUGGCAGAGCAGCAGUCUUGGCCAGGUCCUGAGCUAUCCAGGCACUGAGGAUACACAUCACGCUCAGCCCAGCCAGGAGGGACGUGCAUGCUCGGAGCUGGCUCUGCACUUCUGAUCCCGGGACAUGCUGUCCUGCGGGAGGGCAGCCGAGGGAGCCCUCAUUCCCGGCUCAGGGCCGUGGAUAGCAAAGAGCAUGGCAUCGGAGCCUUGGGGGAUGUGGCAGGUCAUGACAGGGCAAAGGUGGGCUGCGGGGACAACUGAAGCAGAGCAAAAAGCACAAGCAAAGACAGGGAGACGAGGGUCUGUGGCAGGUCGAAGGCAUUUCUCAAGAGCUGGUAGCUUAUUUUAAAAAAAAGCUCUGGGGUCCUGAGAAAGCCUGACAAAACAACUGUUUGUCCUAAUGGUAGAUGGUUUAAGAUAGCAACCCUUAUAUCUGUGAUUACAGAGAAAGGCUAUUCUCUUUGAAAUGGGGCUGAGCAUUUUCUAUAUUUUUACUUUCCUCUUGAGCCAGAAUGGUUUUCUCAUGUAAAUAUCAGAAUGGCAGAAAUAUCUAUAGCCAUAUUUAUGCUAUUUCAUAUUUAUCCAUUUGUAUUUAACAAACUGUUAACAUUGACAAAUGGUCAGGCACUGUUCUGCACACUUAACAAAUGUUCAUCUAUUUAAUUCUCAUAAUAACGUGAUGAGGUAAGUACUAUUCUUGUCUGAAUUUUAUGUAUGAGGAAACUGAGGCACAGAAAUACAAAGAAAGCUUCUCGAGAUCCCACAGCCAGAAAGUGGCAUUAUAAGAGUUUAGGGAAUUUUCUGCUAUGGCUCAACAGUGUCUGCAGCAUCUCUGGAGCACUGGGAGGCAGGUUCGAUCCCCAGCCCAGCACAGUGGGUUAAGUAUCUGGUGCUGCCGCAGCUGCACCUCAGAUCCGAUCCCUGGCCCAGGAACUCCAUAUGAUGUGGGGUGGCCAAAAAAGAAAAAAAAAAAGAGUUUAGGACCUCCAGCAUCAGGGCUAUUGUCAAUCAUUUACUCUUAUCACACAAUUCAGAAUAAGGUUUAUUUUGUGGUACUAGCCACUCUGGAGUUGCCACAAAGAUGAUCCACUCCAAGGGAUGAGCUGAGGGAGGUGGUCCAGAUGUCAAAUUCAAAAUCAUGACCUCAGCUCAGGCCCUGAAGAUUUGUUUUGUGGAGUGGAGUGGACCAGGGGAGCUGUGAGGGCAACGUGGUCACGGCCCGCUGAGCUGCCAGGGAAUGGCUGUGACAGAGAGAGGAGGGCAGAGCUACAAACCAGACUGUGCAGAGAAAGAGCAGCAGGCUCUGGCGGCAGGUGGCGAGAAGAGCGAGAGAGAGGCAAGACUUCCCAGCAGCGUCCAUCUGUUGUCUUGUCGCUUGUCUGCCAGUCGAAUUGAGCCGGGUGACUUCUGAAAGCAAACUGCCCUUCACCUUAGAGUGUACUAUUGACAAACAGUAAUAGUACUAAAGAGGAUGGAAGUUGAGUGCGGGCUGGAUCACUGAGUGGUUCUUGAAGGAAAUAGGGCAGAGAAUCACCUAUUCAGAAACUCGCAAGACACAGAUCAGCCCCCAUCAUCUGCAGUGCAGAACCCCACUGGGCCCAAAGCCUCUUGGACUAAUGAUUAAUCCUGCUGUGGCUUCUCACUCUAAAUAUGAUCAGAGGAGACGAGAGAGGGCAGAACCAGGGCCUGGCAAGCUUCCCCCUAGAGCAGUUCCAGUGGUCCUCAGGUUUGGGCCUGGGUGAUCCACAGCCCUGCGAAUGUAUGAAGAAGUGAACUGUAGCUCUUUUCAAAUCAGUUGCUUGUAGCCAUUCAUCCCAUUGGUCUCUGUUUUCAAUGGUAGUGGGUUUUGUUCAUUUGUGUGUUUUCCUUUCAAUGGGUCUUCCAAGAGGAGCGUCUUUGUUGAGGGCAUCUGGGCCUGGUGAUUACACAGAGAGGUCAAGUUCCUUCCUUCCUGGCAUUUUCAAAGCCAGGUUGCUAGCCUUGAGCAAGUUGUUCAACUUUCUCAGCCUCUCUGCUGUCCUGUCUGCUGCCCCAAAGCAUGCUGGGUUUCUUCAGUGCGAGACCCACUCAAGUACAAAGAGUCAAGAUGUGAAGUCCUCCACACCUGCUGUGCCGGGCGCUUUCCACCCGCCCUCAGCUCUGCCCUUAAGCUAUUCGUUCAGAAGGGUGUGCAGACUUACAGACAGGAGCUCUUCUAGCCUUCAGGUGAGUGACAAGCUGUUCCAUCCCCAGUCUGCACGCUCCCCUGUUCACAGGGCAUGACACGAGAUGGAGAACUGUGUGUUGGCUGUUGCUGAAGCUGUGUAUCUCUGGGAACUUUUUCCUUCCCUUUGUUUCACACCUAGGACCCAGCUUUCUCAAAUUACCUCUCUGAUCUAGCCCAGUGUCUUGCUAUUUUAUUUUAACUCAAUUUUUUUUUUCUUAAGGACUAUAACGUGCUGGACAAGAACCACAUUUGUGAUUCAGAUGGGAAACUGCUUUCUCAGCUCAGUUAUUUUACCCCAUCUUUAAAAAAAAUUGAGAUAUAAUUAGCAUAUAACAUUGUGUAAUAAGUUUGAGGUGUGCAAUGCAUUGAUGUGAUGCAUUUAUAUAUUGCAACAUGAUUACCACCGUAGAAUUAGUUGGCACCUCCAUCACAUAACAUUAUUAUUUCAUUUCACCCCGUCUUAAGCCAAUGAAGAACUUAGUUUCAGAUAGGAAUUCGCAGGCGUGCUAAAGGUGGCUACAGCAUGAGCACGAGUCAUGAAGUGUUGACAGGUACAUGGGGUAAUUGAUUUCGGUCAGUUUUAAAGGUCAGCACAUCUUCCUUCCUGCUUUCAGUCCCCACAUUGAAGCUCCUGUAAACUAAUGGGCAAUUCUGGUUAUACCAGGUUUCCUUAAUCCCCAAGCCAGAUGUGUUAAAUCUCCCCCAGGUUUCUCUUAACAAAGUGACAGCAGGUUUUAAUCUUCCUGUACACACUGCAGCAGCUGUGCAAACAUUUCAUUAACAAAAGAAAAGUGGGAAGCAUUAAACCUGUGGGUAACUUGUGCCCCGCAUUUGCUAUCAGUAGACUUUAAGAUGCCCCAAAGUAAGGAUAAAUCUGUGCACCUUAAAUUCUACUUUAUUUGAGAAAGCUUGAGUAGUCAUAACAAAGAAAUUAAACUCCAUCUAGGGAAUUAAAAAAUGUGAGAAGAACCACUGAAUUAGUAUUCAGCUGCACAGUUCUCUAAAAGCAUAUGUGGCACAAAUAAUAAAACAAAGCAACUUGCAGACAAAAAUUCACAUUCUGAGUGGGGAAGCUAUAAAAUGUGAGGCAGUCAAGUCUUUUAAAUGACAAACUGUUUAAUAUAAUAUUUACAUGCUGCCCUUCGUAAGUUUUUGGAAUUAUGUUGACAUUUGUUCUCAAGAUACAAAAUUGUUCAAAGAUAGCUGGAAAGUCAACACUAGGACUUUGAUUUGUCUUGGUUUUAUUACCAUUAAAGUGAUUUAUUAUGUUUAUUUCAUAGUUCUCGUCCACAAGAACUUGUAAUGUAUUGCUGAUAUUUUAUUAGUUGGAGAAGCUUUUUGACAUCAAAGAAUCUGCCUAUGGAUGCUGUACUUACUGGUAUAAAAAGUAAGGACAAAUCUCUACUGCCUUCCUAGCUCAUUUUGAUUCAAACAUAAUUCAUCCUACGUACAAACAGAAAUAUUUAUCACCUACUUUCUGUCUAGAGGGCUCAGGCUACUCUACUUCCCCCUUCCUCCGUGCAGGCUUCCUGAAUCCAAGAGUAGAAAAUCAUUUCCCUCAAUCCUCCGAUAGGGCUUUUUGACAUGUCUCUUCUAGGCACCAUAUAGUUCACUGUAUUGUAGUUCUUUGUGUACGUGGUAAUCCGCCUACUCCACAGUGAGCUCCUUGAGGCCGGGCACAAGGGCUGAUCCAAAGCUGUGUUUGCCCACAACUAGCACUCAGCUGCAAAUGCCUGCUGAUUGAAGCUUUGGGGCGGAACACGAUGCUUACGGAGGGGAUCGUGCUUUCCUCCUAUUCAGUUAUUUGU